GUGGGGAAUAUUGGACAAUGGGCGCAAGCAUGAUCCAGCCAUGCCGCGUGGAUGAUGAAGGCCCUAGGGUUGUAAAGUCCUUUCGGCGGGGAAGAUAAUGACGGUACCCGCAGAAGAAGCCCCGGCUAACUUCGUGCCAGCAGCCGCGGUAAUACGAAGGGGGCUAGCGUUGCUCGGAAUCACUGGGCGUAAAGCGCACGUAGGCGGCUUUCUAAGUCGGUGGUGAGAUCCUGGAGCUCAACUCCAGAACUGCCUCCGAUACUGGAGAGCUCGAGUCCGGGAGAGGUGAGUGGAACUGCGAGUGUAGAGGUGAAAUUCGUAGAUAUUCGCAAGAACACCAGUGGCGAAGGCGGCUCACUGGCCCGGUACUGACGCUGAGGUGCGAAAGCGUGGGGAGCAAACA
RNAcentral lists this ribosomal RNA (403 nucleotides) under uncultured bacterium. RNAcentral's name for it is "bacterial SSU rRNA". It matches the Rfam family "Bacterial small subunit ribosomal RNA", at positions 354 to 774 of the family's 1533-position model. The record is from RNAcentral.